Molecule: ribosomal RNA, 465 nt
Filed under: Vreelandella stevensii
Lineage: Bacteria; Pseudomonadati; Pseudomonadota; Gammaproteobacteria; Oceanospirillales; Halomonadaceae
Description: partial 16S ribosomal RNA
Rfam family: Bacterial small subunit ribosomal RNA
Source: RNAcentral
CCUACGGGUGGCAGCAGUGGGGAAUAUUGGACAAUGGGGGGAACCCUGAUCCAGCCAUGCCGCGUGUGUGAAGAAGGCCCUCGGGUUGUAAAGCACUUUCAGUGAGGAAGAACGCCUGGUGGUUAAUACCCAUCAGGAAAGACAUCACUCACAGAAGAAGCACCGGCUAACUCCGUGCCAGCAGCCGCGGUAAUACGGAGGGUGCGAGCGUUAAUCGGAAUUACUGGGCGUAAAGCGCGCGUAGGUGGCUUGAUAAGCCGGUUGUGAAAGCCCCGGGCUCAACCUGGGAACGGCAUCCGGAACUGUCAAGCUAGAGUGCAGGAGAGGAAGGUAGAAUUCCCGGUGUAGCGGUGAAAUCCGUAGAGAUCGGGAGGAAUACCAGUGGCGAAGGCGGCCUUCUGGACUGACACUGACACUGAGGUGCGAAAGCGUGGGUAGCAAACAGGAUUAGAUACCCUUGUAGUC